CCACUUAUUAAGAAUAGUUUGUAGGUUCGUUGUCAUUAUUGUGAAUUUUCAUGUCUUAUAUUUGUUGCUUCUGCAGGUGUUAUAUCAAGGUAUCACCAUGGCGAGAUCCCCUUUGCUGCUAACCAGGAAGUUGAGAAUCAUGAAGUGAGAGCACUCUGAAGUUUGAUGUGCACUUGACGCUGGACUUCCCCUGUUGAGUUCGAAUUUGAUUCUGCUAAUUCUGAUGUAGUGCCAGCAUGUAGAAGCUACAACAUCUAUGCUGAUGUUCGUAAAUUUCCUUCUUGGUUUAUCUUCAAGUUCCUGCAAAUUGGUAUAGGGUGCAGUGCGCUGGCUCAUGGCCUUGCUGCCCAGGCGCAUCAGAUUAGUAUUAGUAAUCUAUGGAUGGGAAAUGUCCCUCCAUUGUUGAGUUGGCUUGUAAUGACACUAUAACUCUGAUUCCGUAUGACCAUUAAAAAAAACUGAUCUGUGCCCACUUACGUUGACGGAAUGUUUCUUGUGUAUGUUAAAACUGAAAAAUGUCUGUUUCAUGCAUAUAGUUGUGAAGCCCAAUGGCUAUCAUAAAAAAUGAUAUGUGCUCACUUAUGUUGCUGGAUUUAUGUUAUAUGCUACAACUGAGAAAAGAAUGGUAAAUCUAUAGAUAGUACUGUAUAUGCUUCCUGGGUACUAUUUACAUGAAUACAACCAUAUUAGAACACCAUGCUGCAGUACACGACAUGUACAUGGUUAUACCAAAACAUCCCUGUAGACAAUAUUUUUGUACUUUUCCCUGAGAUGGGUCAAUAUCCUUAUUUGGCCUUGCAAGUAUUCUAGUUUUUUGUCUUGAUAUCCCUCUAGACAAAGCAACAUUGUGCACGGAAUGUACUAUCAGUAGUGUCUGUUGUCUAUAUAUACAGAACUUUCCAAUAAAAGCAUAUAUAUUUGGUGAAUUUCUGAGCACUAUAAAAUAAAUAAAUAUUAUAAUUUGAAAUUAUGGGCUUUGACACAGCAAUUUUCAACUUUUGUUAGUAAUAUCUAUACAAUGCCACUAUGAGAGAUUACAAAAGAAAUGUCCUGUUCCUGCAGCCUUAUAAGCAAACAAAUUCACUAUAGUUGAAGAGAAAUAAUAGUACGAUUGGCCCUCAAAGUUCCAGUCUGAAAUCCAUCGGCUGCAAACCAUCUAGCCUUAAGCCAACAAUAAAAAAAAU
RNAcentral lists this long non-coding RNA (1184 nucleotides) under Triticum aestivum (bread wheat). RNAcentral describes it as "long non-coding RNA (TAES_LNC027780)". The record is from RNAcentral. Lineage: Eukaryota; Viridiplantae; Streptophyta; Magnoliopsida; Poales; Poaceae.